RNAcentral lists this ribosomal RNA (726 nucleotides) under uncultured bacterium. RNAcentral describes it as "bacterial SSU rRNA". It matches the Rfam family "Bacterial small subunit ribosomal RNA", at positions 1 to 728 of the family's 1533-position model. The record is from RNAcentral.
UAGAGUUUGAUCCUGGCUCAGAUUGAACGCUGGCGGCAGGCCUAACACAUGCAAGUCGAGCGGAUGAGAGGAGCUUGCUCCUUAAUUCAGCGGCGGACGGGUGAGUAAUGCCUAGGAAUCUGCCUGGUAGUGGGGGACAACGUUUCGAAAGGAACGCUAAUACCGCAUACGUCCUACGGGAGAAAGCAGGGGACCUUCGGGCCUUGCGCUAUCAGAUGAGCCUAGGUCGGAUUAGCUAGUUGGUGAGGUAAUGGCUCACCAAGGCGACGAUCCGUAACUGGUCUGAGAGGAUGAUCAGUCACACUGGAACUGAGACACGGUCCAGACUCCUACGGGAGGCAGCAGUGGGGAAUAUUGGACAAUGGGCGAAAGCCUGAUCCAGCCAUGCCGCGUGUGUGAAGAAGGUCUUCGGAUUGUAAAGCACUUUAAGUUGGGAGGAAGGGCAGUAAAUUAAUACUUUGCUGUUUUGACGUUACCGACAGAAUAAGCACCGGCUAACUCUGUGCCAGCAGCCGCGGUAAUACAGAGGGUGCAAGCGUUAAUCGGAAUUACUGGGCGUAAAGCGCGCGUAGGUGGUUCGUUAAGUUGGAUGUGAAAUCCCCGGGCUCAACCUGGGAACUGCAUUCAAAACUGUCGAGCUAGAGUAUGGUAGAGGGUGGUGGAAUUUCCUGUGUAGCGGUGAAAUGCGUAGAUAUAGGAAGGAACACCAGUGGCGAAGGCGACCAC